CAAUUGAUUGGUGCUUGCAUCAUGAUUUACAUUUGAGUGAGUGGCGAACUGGUGAGUAACACGUGGGAAACCUGCCCAGAAGCGGGGGAUAACACCUGGAAACAGAUGCUAAUACCGCAUAACAACUUGGACCGCAUGGUCCGAGUUUGAAAGAUGGCUUCGGCUAUCACUUUUGGAUGGUCCCGCGGCGUAUUAGCUAGAUGGUGAGGUAACGGCUCACCAUGGCAAUGAUACGUAGCCGACCUGAGAGGGUAAUCGGCCACAUUGGGACUGAGACACGGCCCAAACUCCUACGGGAGGCAGCAGUAGGGAAUCUUCCACAAUGGACGAAAGUCUGAUGGAGCAACGCCGCGUGAGUGAAGAAGGGUUUCGGCUCGUAAAACUCUGUUGUUAAAGAAGAACAUAUCUGAGAGUAACUGUUCAGGUAUUGACGGUAUUUAACCAGAAAGCCACGGCUAACUACGUGCCAGCAGCCGCGGUAAUACGUAGGUGGCAAGCGUUGUCCGGAUUUAUUGGGCGUAAAGCGAGCGCAGGCGGUUUUUUAAGUCUGAUGUGAAAGCCUUCGGCUCAACCGAAGAAGUGCAUCGGAAACUGGGAAACUUGAGUGCAGAAGAGGACAGUGGAACUCCAUGUGUAGCGGUGAAAUGCGUAGAUAUAUGGAAGAACACCAGUGGCGAAGGCGGCUGUCUGGUCUGUAACUGACGCUGAGGCUCGAAAGUAUGGGUAGCAAACAGGAUUAGAUACCCUGGUAGUCCAUACCGUAAACGAUGAAUGCUAAGUGUUGGAGGGUUUCCGCCCUUCAGUGCUGCAGCUAACGCAUUAAGCAUUCCGCCUGGGGAGUACGGCCGCAAGGCUGAAACUCAAAGGAAUUGACGGGGGCCCGCACAAGCGGUGGAGCAUGUGGUUUAAUUCGAAGCUACGCGAAGAACCUUACCAGGUCUUGACAUACUAUGCAAAUCUAAGAGAUUAGACGUUCCCUUCGGGGACAUGGAUACAGGUGGUGCAUGGUUGUCGUCAGCUCGUGUCGUGAGAUGUUGGGUUAAGUCCCGCAACGAGCGCAACCCUUAUUAUCAGUUGCCAGCAUUAAGUUGGGCACUCUGGUGAGACUGCCGGUGACAAACCGGAGGAAGGUGGGGAUGACGUCAAAUCAUCAUGCCCCUUAUGACCUGGGCUACACACGUGCUACAAUGGAUGGUACAACGAGUUGCGAACUCGCGAGAGUAAGCUAAUCUCUUAAAGCCAUUCUCAGUUCGGAUUGUAGGCUGCAACUCGCCUACAUGAAGUCGGAAUCGCUAGUAAUCGCGGAUCAGCAUGCCGCGGUGAAUACGUUCCCGGGCCUUGUACACACCGCCCGUCACACCAUGAGAGUUUGUAACACCCAAAGUCGGU
Molecule: ribosomal RNA, 1389 nt
Filed under: Lactiplantibacillus plantarum
Lineage: Bacteria; Bacillati; Bacillota; Bacilli; Lactobacillales; Lactobacillaceae
Description: bacterial SSU rRNA
Rfam family: Bacterial small subunit ribosomal RNA
Source: RNAcentral